UUAAAUCCACCGAAGAAAAUUCAGAAAGGGCGUCGUUUUUAAAGCACGUCGUUUUUUUCGAACAACGGCUGUGUUGUUGUCUUGGUACUGAAAAUACAAGCAGUAACUAGCCAACUGUUUCAGUUCAAUAAUUGUGUUGCAAAAUAGACAUGACUAACGUUACGCAUUUAUACUAAGAAGCUCACACUGUACAGGAAAUGGAACGGCUGGAUUUCUCAGAAGAUGAAAUACAGCACCAAUUGGAGGCACUUGGUUACAACAACAUACCAAGACACAGACUACAUGAAUUCAAAAGAGACCUAGAUGAACUGAUCCGACAUGAAAAAUCUAAGAGCCACUCCUCCAGUGAAUUGAACUCUACAAGAUCUCAAAGCACCAUCUUCAAAAGUCCUCCUGCAGUCACCAAAGUUAAAGUACACCAGGAUAACACCGCAGCCUUCAGAAAUGUGUUUGCGCAGGCUGGUCCAUCACACCAUGAAAGACGGGUGCUAACCUCCACAUACAGCAGAGACAACAGUAACUAUGAUGCCAGACAGGAGUAUGACUCCUACACUCAGCACUCUGUUGCCCCCAAGUACCAGCGCCCCUCAACAGCCCCUAAUAGGCUGGAAGUGGAUCCAGACCUAACUGACCUCCAGCAGUCAUCGUUCGCUGCCAGUCAGUCGUCCACACCAGACCGAGACACAGGAGCGCAUGGGAGACCCUUUAUUAAGAGGAAAGUCCUUAGGUACGGAAACAUCAAGGCCAAGUUCACGUCUGCGAUGAAUCAACACAGAGUGAAGAUUCAGGUGCAGUGAGUGGGCUGGGGGAGCGUCUGGGAGGGAUUCAUGUGUCCAUGUCCACCCACCAGGAGUCGGAGCUGGAGAGUGAGGAUGCAGGCAGUCUGAGUGACAGGUCUGAAUCAGACUGUCUCCCAAGUGCCUUCAAAGCUUACAUCAGAGGCAUGGCCAGAUCUCAGAGCGAGAGUGACAUCAGACCCCGGCCCAAGUCGUUUAUCCGCCCAGUGAUGGAUCACCCUCACACCAGAAGCUUGAAGAAGACAGACCCAGUGGCAAAGUAUUUCCAGUACAAGCAGGACUGGGAAAUGUUCAAGGCGCCAGGAGAGAAGGAUAGGAAAGCACUGCACUGGGAAAUCAGGGAACAGCUUGCGUACCAACCUCUACCACCGAAGCCUCGAAGAGUAUUUGUGCCCAACACCUACGUGGUGCCUACAGAGAAGAAACGCUCCGCCCUGAGAUGGGAAAUACGACAUGACUUGGCCAAUGGACUCCUACCGCCAAACAACUAUCGACUCUAGGCCUUAUGUACUUUACGCCUUAAAUAGGCUCUCUUUUAAAUCACCAGUUUGCAUAUAUUUUAUCAUUGACAUUCAUUUAAUUCACAAGUUUUUAUUGGACAUAUUAAAAGGCAUGACAAACA
RNA transcript from Oncorhynchus kisutch (coho salmon), 1419 nucleotides. It is a transcript of the gene named HYLS1 centriolar and ciliogenesis associated, with no coding region annotated. Lineage: Eukaryota; Metazoa; Chordata; Actinopteri; Salmoniformes; Salmonidae. The record is from RefSeq and is a predicted model, not a curated record. The transcript is spliced from 12 exons.